UACGUAGGUGGCAAGCGUUAUCCGGAUUUAUUGGGCGUAAAGGGAACGCAGGCGGUCUUUUAAGUCUGAUGUGAAAGCCUUCGGCUUAACCGGAGUAGUGCAUUGGAAACUGGGAGACUUGAGUGCAGAAGAGGAGAGUGGAACUCCAUGUGUAGCGGUGAAAUGCGUAGAUAUAUGGAAGAACACCAGUGGCGAAAGCGGCCUACUGGACGGUGACUGACGCUGAGGCUCGAAAGCGUGGGGAGCAAACAGG
This 253-nucleotide ribosomal RNA is filed under the name uncultured bacterium. Its description in RNAcentral is "partial 16S ribosomal RNA". It matches the Rfam family "Bacterial small subunit ribosomal RNA", at positions 524 to 776 of the family's 1533-position model. The record is from RNAcentral.